Equus caballus (horse) is the source of this 707-nucleotide non-coding RNA. NCBI's taxonomy places the organism in Eukaryota, Metazoa, Chordata, Mammalia, Perissodactyla, Equidae. The record is from RefSeq and is a predicted model, not a curated record.
CAUUCUUCUUGAAUUCUCCUUACCAGUUUUUCCAUCCACCCAGUGAAAUGCAUGUAUUUCAUUAGAAUAUGAAUGAGAAGCCCUUAGGGAGAAUGCUGUCAUGGCAACAGUCGCCAUGGCAACUGUUAAUUAAUUGGAUGCUGAUGAAGUGGAGGAAGAAAAAAAGCCACCCAGAACGGAUACAACUCUAGAGGAAGUCAUGAGAGCCAAUUACUGGUUUUGCUGAUAGAACUGAAGACAGAGUGGAGGAAGGGUAAAAGAAGAAAGGCACGCAUGAAUCAAUGCUCUGCUUCCAAUAAUAAUCCAGGCCAUCUGGUCUGACUUUCCUGCCUCACCCAGAAAUACCCAAAGCACCUAGGAGAAGGCGCACAGAAACCAGAGCCCUAUGUGAUAAUUUCGAUCUGCAGUCCGUCUGGAAUUGAUUCGUGUUCCUCUCCAGUGACUGCCUGCCUGCUCCAUGGCCAGCGUCUACCGGUUCUUCAUCCAACCCUUAAUCUUCAACCAGAAGCCAAAAGCUCAGAAUUUUUGUUUUGACUAUUAUGAUUAAAGAAAUGUCAUCUUGGGAAAAGUAUAACCACUUUACAUUCCAAUAUGUAUGUCUGGAGACUAAAAAGCUUCCAGAAAUCUAAAAGCAUCUUCAUCCACAAAAAAACAGACGGCAUAGAUUGUAAAGUGUUACUUCAAAUCUUUUUAAAAUAAGACAUUUU